AGCCGCGGCCCCAGCAAGCCCAGGUAGGCGGGAGUGGCCCGUGGCUGCUCUCAACAUCCGGAGCGGACUCCGGGCGGGGAGCGCUCCUGCCCAGGGCUGCGAGCCGCCCGCGACCCAGGGCGCUCGGGGCAGGGGCGGGGAAAGAAGGGGCGCCCCGUCACUUGCCCCCUCUGCAGACCAAGGCCACGUCCCAGAUCCUGGAGAAUGGGGAGGAGGCCCCGGGGCCCGACCCCUCUCUCGACCGCAUGCUCAGCAGCAGCUCCUCGGUGUCCAGCCUUAACUCCUCCACGCUGAGCGGCAGCCAGAUGAGCCUGUCAGGCGACGCGGAGGCGGUGCAGGUCCGCGGCUCCGUGCACUUCGCGCUGCACUACGAGCCGGGCGCCGCCGAGCUGCGCGUGCACGUGAUCCAGUGCCAGGGCCUGGCCGCCGCCCGGCGCCGCCGCUCGGACCCCUACGUCAAAAGCUACCUCCUCCCGGAUAAGCAGAGCAAGCGCAAGACGGCGGUGAAGAAACGGAAUCUGAAUCCGGUUUUCAACGAGACUCUCCGGUACUCUGUCCCGCAGGCCGAGCUUCAGGGCCGCGUGCUGAGCCUGUCUGUGUGGCACCGCGAAAGCCUGGGUCGCAACAUCUUUCUGGGUGAAAUUGAAGUGCCCCUGGACACGUGGGACUGGGGCUCUGAGCCCACCUGGCUCCCCCUGCAGCCCCGGGUCCCACCCUCUCCCGACGACCUUCCGAGCCGCGGGUUACUCGCCCUGUCCCUCAAGUACGUCCCCGCCGGCUCCGAGGGCGCAGGACUGCCCCCGAGCGGGGAGCUGCACUUCUGGGUGAAGGAGGCUCGGGACCUCCUGCCGCUGCGGGCAGGAUCCCUGGACACUU
Molecule: small RNA, 876 nt
Filed under: Pan troglodytes (chimpanzee)
Lineage: Eukaryota; Metazoa; Chordata; Mammalia; Primates; Hominidae
Description: retained intron
Source: RNAcentral